GUCCGAUGUGAAAACCCUUGGCUUAACCGAAGGAGUGCAUCGGAAACCGGGCGACUUGAGUGCAGAAGAGGACAGUGGAACUCCAUGUGUAGCGGUGGAAUGCGUAGAUAUAUGGAAGAACACCAGUGGCGAAGGCGGCUGUCUGGUCUGCAACUGACGCUGAGGCUCGAAAGCAUGGGUAGCGAAC
RNAcentral lists this ribosomal RNA (187 nucleotides) under uncultured bacterium. RNAcentral describes it as "partial 16S ribosomal RNA". It matches the Rfam family "Bacterial small subunit ribosomal RNA", at positions 587 to 773 of the family's 1533-position model. The record is from RNAcentral.